Molecule: ribosomal RNA, 492 nt
Filed under: uncultured bacterium
Lineage: Bacteria
Description: partial 16S ribosomal RNA
Rfam family: Bacterial small subunit ribosomal RNA
Source: RNAcentral
AGUGAACGCUGGCGGUAGGCCUAACACAUGCAAGUCGAACGGCAGCACAGUAAGAGCUUGCUCUUACGGGUGGCGAGUGGCGGACGGGUGAGGAAUACAUCAGAAUCUACUUUUUCGUGGGGGAUAACGUAGGGAAACUUACGCUAAUACCGCAUACGACCUACGGGUGAAAGCAGGGGAUCUUCGGACCUUGCGCGAUUGAAUGAGCCGAUGUCGGAUUAGCUAGUUGGCGGGGUAAAGGCCCACCAAGGCGACGAUCCGUAGCUGGUCUGAGAGGAUGAUCAGCCACACUGGGACUGAGACACGGUCCAGACUCCUACGGGAGGCAGCAGUGGGGAAUAUUGGACAAUGGGCGCAAGCCUGAUCCAGCCAUACCGCGUGGGUGAAGAAGGCCUUCGGGUUGUAAAGCCCUUUUGUUGGGAAAGAAAAGCAGCAGGUUAAUACCCCGCUGUUCUGACGGUACCCAAAGAAUAAGCACCGGCUAACUUCGUG